GGGAAAGUAGCUCAGUGGUAGAGUACUUGCCUUGCAUGCAUGAGGCCCUAGGUUCGAUUCCUCAGUACCA
RNAcentral lists this transfer RNA (70 nucleotides) under Dipodomys ordii (Ord's kangaroo rat). It matches the Rfam family "tRNA". Rfam says of the family: Transfer RNA (tRNA) molecules are approximately 80 nucleotides in length. The record is from Rfam by way of RNAcentral. Lineage: Eukaryota; Metazoa; Chordata; Mammalia; Rodentia; Heteromyidae.